Long non-coding RNA from Toxorhynchites rutilus septentrionalis, 1546 nucleotides. RefSeq lists it as uncharacterized. The transcript is spliced from 3 exons. The record is from RefSeq and is a predicted model, not a curated record. NCBI's taxonomy places the organism in Eukaryota, Metazoa, Arthropoda, Insecta, Diptera, Culicidae.
UGAUAGCCCGGAUAGUUUGAGACAUAGAAGACGAUCCUUUAGUUAGGUCCGACCGAGUGUCAGCGAGCGUCGGACGGCAUACAUUUGCUCGGUGAAUUUUUGCACUGAAAUAUAAAUGAUAUAUUUCAAAGCAAAAAUUAACCGGGCAAACGACGAGACCGCCCGUAUCUGAGCAGCAGGCAAUCACCCAGAAGGAGUAGCUUGAGGUGCUGGUGAAAAACUUCUUUCCGGCGAAAGAAGUGAAAAACUUCUUUUCGUACUCAUAAUGAAAGACGAGACGUACUCGAUGCUAGAAUUCAACGAAUGGCAGGGGACCGGGUACUUUACGUUCCUCAGAUGUGAAGGGAAUGUCCAAGCCGCUCUUCUUUCGAGUCAUAUGGUGAACGGGGAGAUAUAUAGUACGAAGUGCUUGCCGGAGUUGGGAGGGUGAUGUGGUCUUUAUGCCGAACCUGGGAUCAACCCAUUAUGCCAAAAGAUCACUGGAGGAUGGAUCGGGUGGAGAUAAACAUUGUCGCGAAGACCACCAACCUUCCCAACAUUCCCCAGCUGCGCCCGAUAGAAAACUUUUUGGCGAAUGGCCAAAAUAGAGAGACAGACGACCACCAAAGCCAUGAAAAGAAUAGCUACGUCCACGCAACAAUCAUCAGCGAUGGAGAUCGAUCCACGGUCGAAAUAAGAUCGAUUCAUCCUCACAACUGCUCUGCUCUGCAAGUCACAUCGGGCUGCUGUUCUAUAAAUAACUCAACAAUGAUCAAUCAACUGUCUCCGCUGUCCGGUGGUCCAACUGGAUAAUGGAAGAACAUAAAGAAUACCCUUAAGCCUAAAUGGCUACUGUGUGAAUGUACCAUAUGAAAUGGUAUAGAAGGAAUACUGGCGAAUGGCAACUGUGUAAUGUGCUAAUUAUAGAUAUGAUAACCAUGUGACAAGUACACGAUUAAAAUUCGGCUCUGUUACAGCUAAAAAUGCUAAUGAGCCUUAAAUAAAUAAAUGGGAUAAAAAAAAAUUCAAAAAUCGAUUCGUCGAGCUUGCAACAAUAGAUCAACCUGGAACCAGUGAAAGAAUACAAGAAUUCGCGAAAACUGAAUGAACAAUCCGAAAAAGUCACAAAUGGGCCCAAAACACCCAUAAAUUCACACAAGAUCUCCACCGACAAACAAAUCAUAAAAGUCAGUUUGCUUCUAAUUUCGGAUUUUGUUUUAGAAAACAUAGAAAUAAUUCUUUAGGACAACUAUAUCGAAAUUAUCAAAAGUAAAAAAAUGUUUGAAUGGGCCGAUGCUGCUAGAAGCCAUGAUGUGGGCUGACCUGGUACAUCUUUUAUUAUUUCCUACAUGAUCAUUGUUCAAAUUUUUACCCCCCAUAUAUUCCUGUUAUACGCAGUCCUAUGUCAAAAAUCAAAUCGGGGAUAAAACGCACAAAUGUACUCACUAACAAAGGUUCACGUCAAGUUUGAACACUUUUCUCAUAAAUGAAGGACAACAACUUGCUUGAUUGAAAUUGUCAGUUUGGAAUUUUCUUGAUGAGAAUGCGAAACAUAAGAAACAUAAAC